GGAGCCGGCCAGACAGUCGCGUCAUCCAUCGUGCUUGUCACGACGGAUGCCGAGGAAAGUCCGGGCUCCACAGGGCACGGUGCCAGGUAACGCCUGGGCGGCGCGAGCCGACGGAAAGUGCAACAGAAAGAUACCGCCGAACGGUUCUUCGGAAUGCGUGGCAAGGGUGAAAUGGUGCGGUAAGAGCGCACCGCGAGUCCGGCAACGGACCGGCACGGCAAACCCCACCGGGAGCAAGACCAAAUAGGGAGGCUAUGCUGCGGCCCGCAGUGUCUCCGGGUAGGUUGCUUGAGCGCAGCGGUGACGUUGCGCCUAGAGGAAUGACUGUCCACGACAGAACCCGGCUUACCGGCCGGCUCCGCCG
RNAcentral lists this RNase P RNA (364 nucleotides) under Pseudoxanthomonas mexicana. Its description in RNAcentral is "RNase P RNA component class A". It matches the Rfam family "Bacterial RNase P class A". Rfam says of the family: Ribonuclease P (RNase P) is a ubiquitous endoribonuclease, found in archaea, bacteria and eukarya as well as chloroplasts and mitochondria. Its best characterised activity is the generation of mature 5'-ends of tRNAs by cleaving the 5'-leader elements of precursor-tRNAs. Lineage: Bacteria; Pseudomonadati; Pseudomonadota; Gammaproteobacteria; Lysobacterales; Lysobacteraceae. RNAcentral also lists the same sequence under 1 other name. The record is from RNAcentral.